AGAGACUGUAAGCGUUAUUCGGAUUCACUGGGCGUAAAGGGUGCGCAGGCGGUCGUGUGUGUCAGGUGUGAAAUCCCGGAGCUUAACUCCGGAACUGCGCCUGAAAUUACACGACUAGAGCAUUGGAGAGGGAAGUGGAAUUCAUGGUGUAGCAGUGAAAUGCGUAGAUAUCAUGAGGAACACCAGAGGCGAAGGCGACUUCCUGGACAAUUGCUGACGCUCAGGCACGAAAGCAUGGGGAGCAAAAGGGAUUAGAUACCCCUGUAGUCCAUGCCCUAAACGGUGCACACUAGGUCUUGGAGGAUUCGACCCCUUCAGGGCCCAAGCUAACGCGUUAAGUGUGCCGCCUGAGGACUACGGUCGCAAGACUA
RNAcentral lists this ribosomal RNA (371 nucleotides) under uncultured bacterium. RNAcentral describes it as "bacterial SSU rRNA". It matches the Rfam family "Bacterial small subunit ribosomal RNA", at positions 527 to 896 of the family's 1533-position model. The record is from RNAcentral.